Molecule: unclassified non-coding RNA, 406 nt
Filed under: soil metagenome
Description: partial contains 5.8S ribosomal RNA, internal transcribed spacer 2, and large subunit ribosomal RNA
Rfam family: 5.8S ribosomal RNA (bases 1-121)
Source: RNAcentral
GAUGAAGAACGCAGCGAAAUGCGAUAAGUAAUGUGAAUUGCAGAAUUCAGUGAAUCAUCGAAUCUUUGAACGCACCUUGCGCCCUUUGGCCAUUCCGAAGGGCAUGCCUGUUUGAGUAUCAUGAACACCUCAACUCUUCAUGGUUUUCCAUGAUGAGCUUGGACUUUGGGGGUCUUGCUGGCCUGUGGGUCGGCUCCUCUCAAAUGAAUCAGCUUGCCGGUUUUUGGUGGGCAUCACAGGUGUGAUAACUAUCUACGCUUGUGGUUUUCCACCAGGGUAACCUUCAGCAGUGGAGGUUCACUGGAGCUUACAAAUGUCUCUCCUCUGUGAGGACAGCCCUUUGAAUGUUUGAUCUCAAAUCAGGUAGGGAUACCCGCUGAACUUAAGCAUAUCAAUAAGCGGAGGA